AUCCUGGCUUAGGACGAACGCUGGCGGCGUGCCUAGCACAUGCAAGUCGAGCGGAGUUAACAAGAGGAAGUUUCGGAUGGAAUUUGUUAAUUAGCGGCGGACGGGUGAGUAACGCGUGAGCGACCAACCUUGCACAGGGGAUAACGGACCGAAAGGUUCACUAAUACCGCAUGAGACCACGGUGUUGCAUGACACAGAGGUCAAAGGAGCAAUCCGGUGCAAGACGGGCUCGCGUCCGAUUAGGUAGUUGGUGGGGUAAUGGCCCACCAAGCCUAUGAUCGGUAGCCGACCUGAGAGGGUGAUCGGCCACAUUGGAACUGAGAUACGGUCCAAACUCCUACGGGAGGCAGCAGUGGGGAAUAUUGGGGCAAUGGGGGAAACCCUGACCCAGCAACGCCGCGUGAAGGAAGAAGGUUUUCGGAUUGUAAACUUCUGUCCUUGGUGAAGAGAAGAAGACGGUAGCCAAGGAGGAAGCCCCGGCUAACUACGUGCCAGCCGCCGC
This 502-nucleotide ribosomal RNA is filed under the name uncultured bacterium. RNAcentral describes it as "bacterial SSU rRNA". It matches the Rfam family "Bacterial small subunit ribosomal RNA", at positions 16 to 518 of the family's 1533-position model. The record is from RNAcentral.